Molecule: ribosomal RNA, 637 nt
Filed under: Stanieria sp. 7F
Lineage: Bacteria; Bacillati; Cyanobacteriota; Cyanophyceae; Pleurocapsales; Dermocarpellaceae
Description: bacterial SSU rRNA
Rfam family: Bacterial small subunit ribosomal RNA
Source: RNAcentral
GCGCUAGAGCGCCACAGUUAGAAUGACUGCUAAUACCCGAUGUGCCGUUUGGUGAAAUAUUAAUAGCCUGAAGAGGAGCUCGCGUCCGAUUAGCUAGUUGGUGGGGUAAGAGCCUACCAAGGCAGCGAUCGGUAGCUGGUCUGAGAGGAUGAGCAGCCACACUGGGACUGAGACACGGCCCAGACUCCUACGGGAGGCAGCAGUGGGGAAUUUUCCGCAAUGGGCGAAAGCCUGACGGAGCAAUACCGCGUGAGGGAGGAAGGCUUUUGGGUUGUAAACCUCUUUUAAUAAGGAAGAAGAAAGUGACGGUACUUAUUGAAUAAGCAUCGGCUAACUCCGUGCCAGCAGCCGCGGUAAUACGGAGGAUGCAAGCGUUAUCCGGAAUCAUUGGGCGUAAAGCGUCCGCAGGUGGCCCAUCAAGUCUGCUGUCAAAGACAGAAGCUCAACUUCUGGUCGGCAGUGGAAACUGGUGAGCUAGAGUACGGUAGGGGUUGAGGGAAUUCCCAGUGUAGCGGUGAAAUGCGUAGAUAUUGGGAAGAACACCAGUGGCGAAGGCGCUCAACUGGGCCGUAACUGACACUCAGGGACGAAAGCUAGGGUAGCGAAAGGGAUUAGAUACCCCUGUAGUCAAGGACUC